CCUACGGGUGGCAGCAGUGAGGAAUAUUGCGCAAUGGCCGAAAGGCUGACGCAGCGACGCCGCGUGAGGGAUGAAGUCCGUUAGGAUGUAAACCUCUUUUGCAGGGGAUGAAUGUCUCGCUAUACGCGGGAUUGACCGUACCCUGCGAAUAAGGAUCGGCUAACUACGUGCCAGCAGCCGCGGUAAUACGUAGGAUCCGAGCGUUGUCCGGAGUGUCAGGGUGUAAAAGGCGUGUAGGUGGAUUCGUGGUGAAAUCCCGCAGCUUAACUGCGGAAUUGCCUUCGAUACUGGGGAUCUUGAGUACGGCAGAGGGAGAUGGAAUUCAUGGUGUAGCGGUGAAAUGUGUAGAUAUCAUGAAGAACACCGGUAGCGAAGGCGGUCUCCUGGUCCGUAACUGACACUGAUGCGCGAAAGCGUGGGGAGCGAACAGGAUUAGAUACCCCUGUAGUC
Molecule: ribosomal RNA, 450 nt
Filed under: uncultured bacterium
Lineage: Bacteria
Description: partial 16S ribosomal RNA
Rfam family: Bacterial small subunit ribosomal RNA
Source: RNAcentral